Molecule: ribosomal RNA, 405 nt
Filed under: uncultured bacterium
Lineage: Bacteria
Description: bacterial SSU rRNA
Rfam family: Bacterial small subunit ribosomal RNA
Source: RNAcentral
GGGGAAUAUUGCACAAUGGGCGCAAGCCUGAUGCAGCGACGCCGCGUGAGGGAUGACGGCCUUCGGGUUGUAAACCUCUUUCGCCAGGGACGAAGCGCAAGUGACGGUACCUGGAUAAGAAGCACCGGCUAACUACGUGCCAGCAGCCGCGGUAAUACGUAGGGUGCGAGCGUUGUCCGGAUUUAUUGGGCGUAAAGGGCGCGCAGGCGGUUCGGCACGUCCGUUGUGAAAUCGCCCGGCUCAACUGGGCGGGGUCAGCGGAUACGGUCGAACUUGAGCAAGCUAGGGGGCAAUGGAAUUCCCGGUGUAGUGGUGGAAUGCGUAGAUAUCGGGAGGAACACCAGUGGCGAAGGCGGUUGCCUGGAGCUUUGCUGACGCUGAGGCGCGAAAGCGUGGGGAGCGAUC